GAUCCGUUCAUCACUGUUCUUCAAGGUCAAGCCCAAAAGCCCUUGGAGAUCCGUUCAUCACUGUUCUUCAAAGAUCAAGCCCAAAAGCCCCUUUGAAGAUCUGCUCAAAUCCACCUUCAAGAUCAAGUCCACGGCCCUUGAAGAACGUUCAUCCUUAGAUCAAGCCCAACGACCCCUUUGGAUCAAUCGCACAUCCACAAAUACACACCUUACGGAGAUCGAAUCAGAGGAUCAAAAUAAAGAGAGAUUGUAA
Molecule: long non-coding RNA, 253 nt
Filed under: Malus domestica (apple)
Lineage: Eukaryota; Viridiplantae; Streptophyta; Magnoliopsida; Rosales; Rosaceae
Description: long non-coding RNA (MDOM_LNC020863)
Source: RNAcentral